CCUACGGGAGGCAGCAGUGAGGAAUAUUGGUCAAUGGACGCAAGUCUGAACCAGCCAUGCCGCGUGCAGGAAGACGGCUCUAUGAGUUGUAAACUGCUUUUGUACGAGGGUAAAUCCCGAUACGUGUAUCGUGUUGAAAGUAUCGUACGAAUAAGGAUCGGCUAACUCCGUGCCAGCAGCCGCGGUAAUACGGAGGAUUCAAGCGUUCUCCGGAUUUAUUGGGUUUAAAGGGUGCGUAGGCGGUUCGAUAAGUUAGAGGUGAAAUCCCGGGGCUCAACUCCGGCACUGCCUCUGAUACUGUCGGGCUAGAGUUUAGUUGCGGUAGGCGGAAUGUAUGGUGUAGCGGUGAAAUGCAUAGAGAUCAUACAGAACACCGAUUGCGAAGGCAGCUUACCAAACUACGACUGACGUUGAGGCACGAAAGCGUGGGGAGCAAACAGGAUUAGAUACCCCAGUAGUC
This 460-nucleotide ribosomal RNA is filed under the name uncultured bacterium. RNAcentral describes it as "partial 16S ribosomal RNA". It matches the Rfam family "Bacterial small subunit ribosomal RNA", at positions 338 to 795 of the family's 1533-position model. The record is from RNAcentral.